GUUGGGGCUCAGCAUGUUGAACCAGAGCACGGAGGCCCAGGCGCUGGAGAGCUGGUUGUUGUUGGAGAUGAUGACGAAGGGCAGCGUGGAGGUCUCAAGCUUCAGCUCCAGCCCACAGUAUGCAUAUGCCAGCGUGAAGGUGAUGAGAUGAAGCUCUUCAGUCACAGCCAGGGGACCCUCAUUGGUGCCUCUGCUGCCUUUGCCCGACCCUCCACCCUUCUGC
This 223-nucleotide long non-coding RNA is filed under the name Gallus gallus (chicken). The record is from RNAcentral. Lineage: Eukaryota; Metazoa; Chordata; Aves; Galliformes; Phasianidae.